AUACGUAGGUGGCGAGCGUUGUCCGGAAUUACUGGGCGUAAAGGAUGCGUAGGUGGAUACUUAAGUGGGAUGUGAAAUCCCCGGGCUCAACCCGGGAACUGCAUUCCAAACUGGGUAUCUAGAGUGCAGGAGAGGAAAGCGGAAUUCCUAGUGUAGCGGUGAAAUGCGUAGAUAUUAGGAGGAACACCAGUGGCGAAGGCGGCUUUCUGGACUGUAACUGACCCUGAGGCAUGAAAGCGUGGGUAGCAAACAGGAUUAGAUACCCUGGUAGUCCACGCCGUAAACGAUGGGUACUAGGUGUAGGAGGUAUCGACCCCUUCUGUGCCGUCGUUAACACAAUAAGUACCCCGCCUGGGGAGUACGGUCGCAAGACUAAAACUCAAAGGAAUUGACGGGG
This 397-nucleotide ribosomal RNA is filed under the name uncultured bacterium. RNAcentral's name for it is "partial 16S ribosomal RNA". It matches the Rfam family "Bacterial small subunit ribosomal RNA", at positions 523 to 918 of the family's 1533-position model. The record is from RNAcentral.